This 338-nucleotide long non-coding RNA is filed under the name Mytilus galloprovincialis (Mediterranean mussel). Lineage: Eukaryota; Metazoa; Mollusca; Bivalvia; Mytilida; Mytilidae. The record is from RNAcentral.
CAUUCUCAAAUGUAGAGUAUUUGUAAGCAAGUUAAAUAUUCUUUUUGGUUAGGCCAAAUAAAAACAUAUGUGUGGUUCCAGUAACCCUACCGUCCCUACUUUUCAGCUUAAAAAUAGCCUACCCUAAAGAUUUUAAUGUCAUUUGCCAUUAAGCACUGUUAAUGUCAGAAUGUUGCUCACAUAGACUCAAUGUAAAAAAAAAAAAAACAUAAAAUAAAAAAAAAACUUUUUUUUCAGAUGUAACUGGAACCACACAUACUUUUUUAUUUGGCUUUAGAAAAAUAAACAAUCAAAUGUAUAUGAUAUAAUCGUUUCUGUUGUAUUUGACAGUUUUUAGC